Molecule: long non-coding RNA, 808 nt
Organism: Wyeomyia smithii (pitcher-plant mosquito)
Lineage: Eukaryota; Metazoa; Arthropoda; Insecta; Diptera; Culicidae
Exons: 3
Source: RefSeq, a predicted model, not a curated record
CAUUAUAAUGCGUACAGCGCUACCUAGUUGAUAGUAGUGCGUUAAAAAUGUUUUCACGCGAAAAGUGACAAAUGACAUGAUCGAUGAUGUUACACCGCGCAAAGAGGAGAUUUUAGGCGCGCGAAUACCGCAAUCGGAAUCGUCACGAUCAAUACAAUAUGGUUACCUGAUGCAACUUGUUGGUUUAUGGCAGAUACCCCGGACCUGCCCUGGACUAACCGUACUGUCAAGUAUUUGAUCCUCCAGUCCUAUGAGAUAUUACAGCCUGGAAUUGUGUCAUCACAACAAAAAAGUUAGCCAACGUUCAAUUAGGGACAUCAUUUAAGUGGUUCGAUGAUUAUUAUAUUGAAAAUUCCUAUGGAACCGUUUUUUACUCUAAACUUUUCCUGGUGAAUUAUACACCCGUAGCACAUCGUUCAGGCAUGGUGUGUUACGAACAGAAAAUUUCUCAACCAAAGGAAAACAGGAAAUUUUAAUGAGAAAAUCUAUACCGAAUUUAUUCAACGAUACAACUAGCGAAUAAAAUGUAAUGAAAAGGGGGUUUUAACUCAAUCGAAUUCGUGCUCUGUUUUAAAAGUUCACUCCCACCGUAAAGAUACAGAUUCUAGUAUAUUUGUUUCUACAGAAACAUGGCGCAAUAUCCACUUGUUUACUUGCAUUAUUAUUGCUGAACGUAUUAUAUCAUAUCAUAUUUCCACUUGUGUAAUGUAAUAAAUAUCUUUAUUAGAUAAGACCUGUUGUAUUUUUUCAGUCAUAAAUGCAGACAACCGAAUCGUACAACUCAAAUAGUGUUGGUUAAACUAGAAAC